UACGUAGGGUGCGAGCGUUAAUCGGAAUUACUGGGCGUAAAGAGCUCGUAGGCGGUGUGUCACGUCGGCCGUGAAAACCUGCAGCUUAACUGUGGGCGUGCGGUCGAUACGGGCAUCACUGGAGUUCGGCAGGGGAGACUGGAAUUCCUGGUGUAGCGGUGAAAUGCGCAGAUAUCAGGAGGAACACCGGUGGCGAAGGCGGGUCUCUGGGCCGAUACUGACGCUGAGGAGCGAAAGCGUGGGGAGCAAACAGG
RNAcentral lists this ribosomal RNA (254 nucleotides) under uncultured bacterium. RNAcentral's name for it is "partial 16S ribosomal RNA". It matches the Rfam family "Bacterial small subunit ribosomal RNA", at positions 524 to 776 of the family's 1533-position model. The record is from RNAcentral.